AUUGAACGCUGGCGGCAGGCCUAACACAUGCAAGUCGAACGAGUGGCGGACGGGUGAGUACUGUCUGGGAAACUGCCUGAUGGCGGGGGUUAACUACUGGAAACGGUAUCUAAUACCGCAUACCAUCGGAUGUUCCCAGUUGGGAUUAGCUAGUAGGUGGGGUAACGGCUCACCUAGGCCACGAUCCCUAGCUGGUCUGAGAGGAUGACCAGCCACACUGGAACUGAGACACGGGCCAGAAUCCUACGGGAGGCACCAGUGGGGAAGAUGGCACAAGGGGCGAAAGCCGGAUGCAGCCAUGCCGCGAGUAUGAAGAAGGCCUUCGGGUUGUAAAGUACUUUCAGCGGGGGGGCGUUACCCGCAGAAGAAGCACCGGCUAACUCCGUGCCAGCCGCCGCGGUAAUAC
RNAcentral lists this ribosomal RNA (406 nucleotides) under uncultured bacterium. RNAcentral describes it as "partial 16S ribosomal RNA". It matches the Rfam family "Bacterial small subunit ribosomal RNA", at positions 30 to 526 of the family's 1533-position model. The record is from RNAcentral.